CCUACGGGGUGCAGCAGUGAGGAAUAUUGGUCAAUGGACGAGAGUCUGAACCAGCCAAGUAGCGUGAAGGAUGACUGCCCUAUGGGUUGUAAACUUCUUUUAUAUGGGAAUAAAAUGUUCCAUGUGUGGGAUUUUGUAUGUACCAUAUGAAUACGGCUCGGCUAACUCCGUGCCAGCAGCCGCGGUAAUACGGAGGAUCCGAGCGUUAUCCGGAUUUAUUGGGUUUAAAGGGAGCGUAGGUGGAUUGUUAAGUCAGUUGUGAAAGUUUGCGGCUCAACCGUAAAAUUGCAGUUGAAACUGGCAGUCUUGAGUACAGUAGAGGUGGGCGGAAUUCGUGGUGUAGCGGUGAAAUGCUUAGAUAUCACGAAGAACUCCGAUUGCGAAGGCAGUUCACUGGACUGCAACUGACACUGAGGCUCGAAAGUGUGGGUAUCAAACAGGAUUAGAUACCCCUGUAGUC
Molecule: ribosomal RNA, 460 nt
Filed under: uncultured bacterium
Lineage: Bacteria
Description: partial 16S ribosomal RNA
Rfam family: Bacterial small subunit ribosomal RNA
Source: RNAcentral